CCGUGCUAGAUGGGGAGUUAGCGGUGCCCUGUAACCUGCAAUCCGCUAUAGCAGGAUUGAAUUCUUCGCCUAGACUUUAACUUGUGGGGUCUGGCCUGUAAAAGUGGUGUUGAUAAUUGGGUCCCACGCAACGGAAAUUCAUGAACUCCGUCAGAUCCGGAAGGAAGCAGCGGUAAGUGAACACUUUCGUGUGCCGUGGAUAAACCUGAUUUGAGCUAACUGUACAGGUAACGCUCAUAAGUUAAUAGACAAAGCGAAGUGCACGG
This is a non-coding RNA of Clostridium sp., 266 nucleotides long. NCBI's taxonomy places the organism in Bacteria, Bacillati, Bacillota, Clostridia, Eubacteriales, Clostridiaceae. The record is from Rfam.